Molecule: ribosomal RNA, 1178 nt
Filed under: unidentified bacterium wb1_D02
Lineage: Bacteria
Description: SSU rRNA
Rfam family: Bacterial small subunit ribosomal RNA
Source: RNAcentral
CCACACUGGGACUGAGACACGGCCCAGACUCCUACGGGAGGCAGCAGUGGGGAAUCUUGCGCAAUGGGCGAAAGCCUGACGCAGCGACGCCGUGUGGGGGACGAAGGCCUUCGGGUUGUAAACCCCUGUCAGGCGGAACGAAUCCCCCAAGGACGAAUACUCCUUGGGGUUGACGGUACCGCCAGAGGAAGCCCCGGCUAACUACGUGCCAGCAGCCGCGGUAAUACGUAGGGGGCGAGCGUUGCUCGGAUUUACUGGGCGUAAAGAGCGCGUAGGCGGCCAGGGAAGUCUGGUGUGAAAGCCCUCGGCUCAACCGAGGACCCGCAUCAGAAACUGCCUGGCUUGAGUCCAGGAGGGGAGGGUGGAAUUCCCGGUGUAGCGGUGAAAUGCGUAGAGAUCGGGAGGAACACCAGUGGCGAAGGCGGCCCUCUGGAAUGGUACUGACGCUGAGGCGCGAAAGCUGGGGGAGCGAACGGGAUUAGAUANACCGGUAGUCCCAGCCGUAAACGAUGGGCAAUAGGUGUGGGAGGUAUUGACCCCUUCCGUGCCGCAGCUAACGCAUUAAGUGCCCCGCCUGGGGAGUACGACCGCAAGGUUGAAACUCAAAGGAAUUGACGGGGGCCCGCACAAGCGGUGGAGCAUGUGGUUUAAUUCGACGCAACGCGAAGAACCUUACCAGGGCUUGACAUGCCGGUAGUACUAACCCGAAAGGGAAGGGAUCCCGCAAGGGAAGCCGGCACAGGUGGUGCAUGGCUGUCGUCAGCUCGUGUCGUGAGAUGUUGGGUUAAGUCCCGCAACGAGCGCAACCCUCACCCUCUGUUGCCAGCGGGUCAUGCCGGGUACUCUGAGGGAACUGCCCCGGUCAACGGGGAGGAAGGCGGGGACGACGUCAAGUCAUCAUGCCCCUUACGUCCUGGGCUACACACGUGCUACAAUGGCCGGUACAAAGGGCUGCAAACCCGCGAGGGGGAGCUAAUCCCAGAAAGCCGGUCUAAGUUCGGAUUGCAGGCUGCAACUCGCCUGCAUGAAGGAGGAAUCGCUAGUAAUCGCGCAUCAGCACGGCGCGGUGAAUACGUUCCCGGGCCUUGUACACACCGCCCGUCACACCACGAAAACCGGCUGUACUCAAAGUCGCUGCACUAACCCGCAAGGGAGGUAGGCGCCUUAAGAUAUGGUCG